GCAAACUUGGUCAUUUAGAGGAAGUAAAAGUCGUAACAAGGUUUCCGUAGGUGAACCUGCGGAAGGAUCAUUAACAAAUCCCAUGUUUUAUUACUAUUAUAUGUAUUAUUAUGAUACAUGUGAUAAUAAUAUACACAAGUUCCAUGUUGUGUACAUGCAUACAUGUUUACAAUAUGACAUUUCUAUUAAUUAUCUGAUUUAUUUAUUUCAAAUUCUAAAACAAUAACUUUUAACAAUGGAUCUCUAGGCUCUUGCAUCGAUGAAGAACGCAGC
Molecule: unclassified non-coding RNA, 273 nt
Filed under: uncultured fungus
Lineage: Eukaryota; Fungi
Description: partial contains small subunit ribosomal RNA, internal transcribed spacer 1, and 5.8S ribosomal RNA
Rfam family: Eukaryotic small subunit ribosomal RNA (bases 1-73)
Source: RNAcentral